GAUCCUGGCUCAGAAUCAACGCUGGCGGCGUGCCUCAGACAUGCAAGUCGAACGAUUAAAGCUCCCUUCGGGGAGUGCAUAAAGUGGCGCACGGGUGAGUAACACGUAAGUAAUCUACCUUCGAGUGGGGAAUAACCCGGGGAAACCCGAGCUAAUACCGCAUAAUGCAGCGGCACCUAAUGGUGACAGUUGUUAAAGGAGCAAUCCGCUUGAAGAGGAGCUUGCGGCAGAUUAGCUAGUUGGUAAGGUAACGGCUUACCAAGGCAACGAUCUGUAUCCGGUCUAAGAGGACGGUCGGACACACUGACACUGAAUAACGGGUCAGACUCCUACGGGAGGCAGCAG
Molecule: ribosomal RNA, 345 nt
Filed under: Acidobacteria bacterium enrichment culture clone C24_08_A23
Lineage: Bacteria; Pseudomonadati; Acidobacteriota
Also listed under: 1 other name
Description: bacterial SSU rRNA
Rfam family: Bacterial small subunit ribosomal RNA
Source: RNAcentral